RNAcentral lists this ribosomal RNA (253 nucleotides) under uncultured bacterium. Its description in RNAcentral is "partial 16S ribosomal RNA". It matches the Rfam family "Bacterial small subunit ribosomal RNA", at positions 524 to 776 of the family's 1533-position model. The record is from RNAcentral.
UACGUAGGGGGCAAGCGUUGUCCGGAAUCAUUGGGCGUAAAGAGCGUGUAGGCGGCCCGGUAAGUCCGCCGUGAAAGUCCAGGGCUCAACCCUGGAAUGCCGGUGGAAACUGCCGGGCUGGAGUCCGGAAGAGGCGAGUGGAAUUCCUGGUGUAGCGGUGAAAUGCGCAGAUAUCAGGAGGAACACCAAUGGCGAAGGCAGCUCGCUGGGCUGACACUGACGCUCAUGCACGAAAGCGUGGGGAGCAAACAGG